This 69-nucleotide transfer RNA is filed under the name SR1 bacterium human oral taxon HOT-345. Its description in RNAcentral is "tRNA-OTHER". The record is from RNAcentral. Lineage: Bacteria; Candidatus Absconditibacteriota.
GAACGCUUAGUAGCUAGAGCGAUCCGAUUGUCAUCGGAUAGGUCAGGGGUUCGACUCCCCUAGAGUCCA